GACCCAGUGUGGUCUAGCGGUUAGAGUGCUGGACUGGGAUUUGGGGGGCCGGGGUUCAAAUCCCCACUCAGCCA
Molecule: non-coding RNA, 74 nt
Organism: Podarcis lilfordi (Lilford's wall lizard)
Lineage: Eukaryota; Metazoa; Chordata; Lepidosauria; Squamata; Lacertidae
Source: the annotation of a GenBank genome assembly